Molecule: long non-coding RNA, 614 nt
Organism: Drosophila biarmipes
Lineage: Eukaryota; Metazoa; Arthropoda; Insecta; Diptera; Drosophilidae
Exons: 2
Source: RefSeq, a predicted model, not a curated record
UUUAAAUAAAUAUUAGAGACGCACAACGUGAUGAAUAAUUUCGGGCUGCCACCCUGUCAAUUGUCUGCCUCGCAUGGGCAAUUUCAAUUUCAGCUACGUCAGCCCGCGGAUUGUGGGCUGCACUGUGACGAAAACAUGGGCACAUUAACCAAAAAAGUUGGCUUCCAGUUCGGAAAAGAUCUUUCAGUUGCCAUUCUCCGGACAAUUAGCAAACCAAAAGUGGGCCAAACGAACUGUCAAGCCGGCAAACAUCGAAUCAGACCAUCGAAGUGAAAUGGAAAUGGAAAUGGAAAAAUGAAACUGCUACUAAAAAGGAAACUUGUGUUUUGCAUUUUUGUUUUUGCUGCUGGGGUCAAGCCUUACCGACUCCCAGAAGGCAGAAACACAAAACUAAAAUACAAAAAAAGGUUACCAACGUAGAGCAAACUUCUCGAUGAUAAUGAAACUGCUGAUGAUAAUGAUUUAAAUGGACUGGAGUGGACAUGUCAGACAGCAAAAUGGUGUAGGUGCACGGAGAACAGGGGGAGUUAAACAUUAUAAUGAUAAAACUUACUUAAAAUCUGAAGUUUAUUUUGAAAAUUUUGGAAAAAUAUAUAUAACAUUGCAACAGUAAA